CUUGUGCUUGUCAGCUUGUCGUCUGAUUCGGAAGAUGUGCAAUGUAGAGCUCAGCUGAUGCAGGAUUUUUGCUGCCUGGUGCGUCUUUCUCUGUAAGCCAGUGUUACAGCUAAAAAUACCACCUGCUGUGAUUCUGCUCACCCUGCUGCUCCACUGUGUGUGUGUGCGCGUUAACUGCUGUUAUCUAAAUUUGUUUUGUCAGCUGAGGCUAAUUUUCAUGUGCAUGUGAAUGAUAACCACAAGCAAUGUUUUGUUUAGUAAUGUUUAUUGCAGGCACGCAUGUGGUUAGUGUAAUUUGUUGUAGUGUACGGAUCCCCUGGAAACAUGGUGUAAUGCACCGGAAGACUCUCACAGAUGCAAACACUGAUGCCACAAAUUCCUGUUCCUGUUCCUUGUCAUUGAUCUGGCUCAAUCCUGGUGUUCCUGCAGUUGGUCUAGUCUCUGCUCCACUUCUCCAUACGUGACGUCACAGUCCAGAUCAUCAUCUUCAGUGCCG
This is a long non-coding RNA of Sinocyclocheilus anshuiensis, 496 nucleotides long. RefSeq lists it as uncharacterized. The record is from RefSeq and is a predicted model, not a curated record. Lineage: Eukaryota; Metazoa; Chordata; Actinopteri; Cypriniformes; Cyprinidae. The transcript has 3 exons.